UACCGAUACAAUAUCGCCCAUUGCUAUUCGGGUUUCUAGUGCAAGAAGGUUUGGAGUAGUAUCUUGUUUGCUUUGAAAUAUUCAAAAUGAAUUAAAUAUCCUCAACGAUUAGCGAAAGACUUCCUUCCGAAAGCAAAACCACCCGCACAGAAAGUAGUAUCGCCUGCGGGGACACUGAACCGGAGAAUGAACUAUUGGUGUGCGCCAGAGUGGCACGGGCCAGAUUUUGGUUUUCCGGAAAUUUACAGCGUUGAACCAAGAAAACGAACGGACACACCUCAAGAUCGAUUGUGUGAUAAGCAACUUUCGAUUGUUAGAGGGAAUAUAAACAGUGUUAUAAACAUUAUCUUUAGUGUUUUGAGUUUUAUUUGUAUUAAAAAACCAAAAUUUUCAAUUUUU
Molecule: long non-coding RNA, 399 nt
Organism: Wyeomyia smithii (pitcher-plant mosquito)
Lineage: Eukaryota; Metazoa; Arthropoda; Insecta; Diptera; Culicidae
Exons: 2
Source: RefSeq, a predicted model, not a curated record